GGUAAUUCCAGCUCCAAUAGCGUAUAUUAAAAUUAUUGCAGUUAAAAAGCUCGUAGUUGAAUUUCUGCUGCAUUGCUUGUGUCCCUCCGGGGUCUGUGCAUGUGGCUUUUUUCGGACGGAGUUUCUUUGUCUGAAUGUUUACUUUGAGAAAAUUAGAGUGCUCAAAGCAGGCUUUUGCCUUGAAUAGUUUAGCAUGGAAUAAUAAAGUAGGACUUUGGUUCUAUUUUGUUGGUUUUAGGUACCAAAGUAAUGGUUAAUAGGAACAGUUGGGGGCAUUCGUAUUUAACUGUCAGAGGUGAAAUUCUUAGAUUUGUUAAAGACGAACUACUGCGAAAGCAUUUGCCAAGGAUGUUUUCAUUAAUCAAGAACGAAAGUUAGGGGAUCGAAGACGAUCAGAUACCGUCGUAGUCCUAACCAUAAACAAUGCCGACUAGAGAUUGGAGGUCGUCAGUUUUUACGACUCCUUCAGCACCUUGAGAGAAA
RNAcentral lists this ribosomal RNA (483 nucleotides) under Theileria lestoquardi. RNAcentral describes it as "SSU rRNA". It matches the Rfam family "Eukaryotic small subunit ribosomal RNA", at positions 578 to 1097 of the family's 1831-position model. The record is from RNAcentral. Lineage: Eukaryota; Apicomplexa; Aconoidasida; Piroplasmida; Theileriidae.